GGGGGUGGCUGAAAAGGAGUCGCGAGCGGCUACACGGGGAGGGAGCUGUAACACUGCACGCCGGAGAAAUGUCUUCAUGAAAUGACGAGGAGUGGCACUCUCUGCAGUCCUGUGUUAAGAGAGAAGAACAUGUGUUUUCCUACAAAUGAAGCAGAAUCCAGCAGGAGCAGAAAAGCACAAUCCAGGGACACAUAGCGCAUAAGGACAACGCCACUAAACAGAAGUGUAGCUUGUAGCUUCACUUUCAUCAAACAAGGUAAUCAGUGCAUUUAACACGUUUUACUAACCACUGAAUUUAUCUGCUACUGGUUUUGAAACAAAACAAUAAGUUGAAUAAAUCCUUUUUUUUUUAAUGAACCAUUAAUAUAAAAACCAGUGCAUCAUCUCUUGCCUUCACUAGAAAAAGGGUAGAAAUUGAGGCGGUUUCCAUUAAAUUGGGAAAUUUUUCAGUUGAUACAAAAUUUGUUUCCUAAUUCUUGAGUGUGUUUUACUGAGGUUUAAUGUCAACUUUUAACACAUUAAGAGAAGGUCCUACCACAGAAAAUAUAAUAAAACCAAACGCUGUAGGUCUCUUAUCAGUUUAACACUCAAACCACCGAUGCUGUUCACCAUAAUGGGGUAAGGAGGGGAAACCAGCAUCGCAGCACUAUUAAGUGGUCAGUAACAGUCAUUUAACCACAUUUGUGAGAUCAAAACGAUGCUGGUCUGCUGUUUGUGACCAGUUAUGUCCCGAGAAACGAAGUGAGGGCCGCCGGAAUGGCGUGGAUCCAGCUGAAGAAAACAGCCCAGAACAGAGGCCGUUGGCGUGGUGUUGUUGAGGCCCUAUGCUCCGCCAGGAGUCUACGGGACAAAUGAUGAUGAUGAUGAUAUGUCCCGAGAACCUUCGAACCAGCAAGAGAUCCAGCGAAAAUGUGGAGAUUGUGGUUUUAUUAGUGAAUAAAGUGGAAUAUCCCAAACAGAACCAGCUCUUCACCACAAUAGCUUCUCACCACAAUACUACAAUAUUCUUGAUCUUGUGAUGGGUGGCAUCAGGUGCCUGCCUAACCUUCCAUCUUACAACUCUGGGAAUGCAUCUGGGCAGCUAGGUGUCCUUGCUGAAGGAAUUCACACAAACAUACCAGCAACCUCGCCAUCAAAUCUUGAAUUGCUUUCAACAAAAGCACUCAGGCUAUAUCACAUCAGUGAGGAUGUUUCCUGACCGUGAACCAAAGUGCAAGGCUCCCUGGAGAUUGUCCUGUACAGUAAACCCCCCCACUGUGGGAGUAUUUUACAAAUAUGUAUGUGUGUAGCCCUGAGCUGCUGCCACAUUCGUUGCAUGAAUGCUGUGUCAUAAGAGUGGUUUGCUCCUCCUUUCUUCCUCUACCAUCCUUCAACAGGAAACAGUCAGCUCUUUGUCUCCUACCGUAUGUCCUGCCUCAACUGGCCCAACCUGGAAAUGAAUCCUAAGGGAUGUCUUUCUCUCCCGUUUUCUCUCUCUCUCAUUCUCUUGCCUACAAGACUCUUCCUGCUGACCCAGCCAAUAACAAUUGUUCUUAUAAUGUUUCUAGAACACUGGAAGUGUGUUACUGUGUUUUUUACACAAUGUUACGGCACUCAGAGUGUUUUGUCAUGCGUCUCUCAGUCCCGAAGACGCCGGCGGUGUCAUCGAACUGUCACAGUAGAAAGAGGGAAAUAUUGAGGCACUGGGCUAUAACUGUUUCCGCCGUAAAUGGUGAGCUGUGAAUAAUGGUGGAGAAAGAUCAUCACACCGGUGUACAUUACAAGUGAGCACCGUCCGAGAUCUGUCCGAAUUAUGUAUUCUCCAAAUCUAGCAAAAUUAGAUGUAUUCUAGUUAGCAGACUUAACCAGUUGCAUUCAUACAGCUAGGUAUAUGUAAGAGAAGGCACAGAUUUCAGCCUUCUACAAUUUCAAUAAGAUAUAUGGCUGGAAUCUAUGUUUUUAUAUGAAAUGAAAUGCUUUAUUUGCCCUUUGGUUCUACUGGUACAUUGGAGUGCUUCUAUUCAGAGAUCUCAUCUUGCUCUCCUUUGGGACAUAUAGUCACACAUAAAAAGUUGAGAGCAAGACUUGGGGUUUGUGUGUAGAUUCAGCCAUUUAUCUGGCAUUCCUGGGGCAUAUUGGGGGAGGGGGGGGGGGUUAAGGAUCUUGCCCAAUGGCCUUACAGAUAUAUGACUGGUCUACCAAGGAUGGGAACUGAACCAGUGACUUUUCGAUCACAAGCACAGAGGCCUAAAACAUAUAAUACCACCCCCACAGAAGGAAAUUCUGUCUAAUUAUUUGUGCUACUGGACUGGUAUCCCAUCUAGAGUUUCCCCUACUGCCUCUCUACAGUGACUCUACACUGGUUAAGCCUUAUGCAAACUGGAUGGAUGCUUCUCCAUUUGUAGAGAGCUAGUUGCUCUCUCUGUUAAACAUUACAGUUAAGAGGUUGUAGACAUUGCCUCAAAAGCAAAAAGACUAUUAAAAAUUACUAAAUUUGCAGAAUUAUGAACCUGUAAAUCCAGAACAAACUUCGUAGCACUUGUUUCUGGGCACCCCACCAAACAACUAUGUGACGAGGAGGCGGGAGGAGGGAGUAGGGAGCCCGGAGAGGAGAGGGGUUAACAAAACUAGUGGGGAGCAACAAAAAUGAAGGGUAGCUGUUUUGCCAUCAGCAGGGGGAAAAGACACAAAAACAAAACAGGUUUUGGGGUCGGGGAAAGGGCUGCAAAGGGUUCUGUAUGGGUUUUUCUUGGGGGGAGUUAAGACAACAAAAACACAAUCCCAUAUAAUUACUGGUAUGGAUCUUAAAGGGCCCAUCCCCUGUCCUGUAAGCCUUCUCUGCAAGCCACAGGACAGGCCUCUGGUUUAUUUACAUUAGCAGGAAUGUUAAAGGUGCAUAAUUAUAGCCAGUCAAAUACGUUCACUUGAACCACUUCACAUUUCACGUCUGUUGGUUGCAACAAUGACACGCAGAUGGCCUCUGUGGCACUGGAGCUGAGGUGUGACCCCCUCCGUGGGGGUCCCCCCCCCCCGCAAAGAUCACCCCCCGUGGCUCACUGAUUAGCAAGUUCGCUCACCAACUGUUGGCAUUUUAACACCUCGACCAUGUUCAGCCUCUGCUCCAGAGAGCCGCAAGCCCUUCGCUGAAGGCCUGCCGUCCGACAUGUGGCUUUUAUUGUACGUAGGCCCGAUUCCCAAAGCCAUGCACUGACACCCUGUCCACUUAGUUCCACACAUUUCUGUGUAUCCAAUUUGCUGCUCCACAUACAGGGUGUGUUUGUGUUUCCCGCAGAACAAAGAUGUUCUAAUACUCUCCAGAGCGAUAAACGGGGAUAAGUUAACUUACAGCUCACUGUAUAAGAAUGUAUGGUAAUAAAGUGAUGUUUUCCUUUGUUAUGCCGCCUAAUCUCUAUAACAUGUUAACAUAAGGUCACGUACACUUUAACACAGGACAUUCACUACCUAAUGGAGGGAUUAGACAAUUAUAAAUAACACAUCUUAAAUGUGUUUUUAUAGACCUAUAUGCACAUGCUCUAUCUUCAUCUUAUAGACUUAAAAGACCAUGCAUGAUAGCCACAAAAAAAAGAUAUUUUGUUGCAUUCACAUCCCAGCUUUGUUUGACAGUUUGAUGCUUGAACUGUGCCAUUGUGGCCUUGGAAUCACUUGGAAUCCAAGGCCACUGUAUUUAUCACAUUCCCUGCAUUUACUCCUUUGUCGUGUAAACUGUGUCUUGAAUUUAUUCUCUGUCUGCGUUAUGCCCUAAUUGUUAGUUGUCUAUUGUCAUGGUGUCUAAAGUUUUUCAUCCUAAAUGUGAGGUAUGAUCCCUUGCUACCCAAAACUUUCUGUUGGGACCAUGAGUCUGGUGAAGAAGCACAGACAUGCAGUCAUUAGGUCACCCAACGGCUGCCCCUGUGACCGUCAACGAUCACUUAUGACAUGCUAAUCAGAUGGCAUCCGCUCGCAGGUGCCGCAGAUAUGGCACAAGAUGGAGAUCAAAUCCACAUCGUCACUACAUACCAGGCAAGAGGAUUAGAUCACUAAAAUAAAGACUCGGGUAUCAGGGCUCAGGCAACUAAUCAGUCUGUUGCUGGGGGAGUGUAGGUGACAUCAACAUUGCAAUAGACUCACAUACGUGUGAUGAGCUCUUGUGCUCAUUAAUUUAGUAAUUUAGAACUAUUAUCUUCUUGGUGUCUAACUGUAAAGACAUUCAGCAAAAGGUUAAAGCUAAUCCAAGAAAACUACUUAUUGGCCAUCACCCUGUAACCUUGUUCCAUACUUUAUGCCGGAUAAUUAGAUCAUUCUGAAAAAUUCAAUAAAUCAUGCACACACCUCUACACAGGCACAUAAACAUUUUCCAUGUUGUCAUGGUUACGGAGGUUUAAAUCCCAGGGACGGCGCAGGCUCCGGCGCGGGGGUCCUUCCAGAGGUAGGGAUAAAUUCUAGAACUCUCCUGUUGUUUUCUAACGUCAACAUGUAGUGGAGGCACAAGCAGCCGAGCAUGCUUGGGGCUGACCGGGCAAGCGGGGGCCCGGCCUACUGCAGCAAGGGGCAGGCAGACGAACCCCUGAAGGGAGUCUUUCACCCUUUUCUGCUCUUUCUUUCCUAAGUUCCAUGGCAACACUUUUGAAGUAUUCGGCCGCUAUUUCACAGUAAGUAAUAUAUAGUACAGUUCCGAACAAGUAAGUAAAUUUCCCUACACUGUGUGCAUGGCAGAGAUGUCAAGACGAGAGCCAUUUUCCCAACCGUGUUGGAAAAGAGGGCACACACAUGGUUUAACCAACCUGUGUGUUUUCUCUCAUUUUAGUUGUCACAAGGGGUCACAAGAAAAACACUAAGCAUGCUCUCUUUUGCUGUUCAGAAACUGACAACAGCCACCACACAAGGCAGUCAUAAACCAUAUGAGAGGGCCUCGCCAAGCUCUUACCAAGAUCGCCCCUCUCCCAAAUCAAUUCAUAACUAUCAUUUCAUUUGCACGUUCAUAUUCCUGCCCAUCCCUUUGACUUCCAGCUUCCCAUUAACGAUCCGGCCCCAUUUGAGGUGUCACGACCUGUGUCUGCUUGGAGGAGACACCACCCGCUCGUCCAAUUAUAAGCCGCGUCAUGCAUAAACAAGCUCUGAUUACUCAUCAAAGUUAAUCACCAGUAUCUUCAUAGCCAUAACGAAUGAGGCCUCAUCUCCUCCCAUCUCCUCUGGCCCGCUCACCUGCUGAUGCAUUAUCAAUCCGCAGCAAACUGCUCCAGGUGAGUGAAAACGCAUCGCUAAGCCGAAAUAACAUCAAUUAGCUUGUGAUUAACAAGUGUUUUAAUUCCAGCCAAUUUAAUCAAGCACCCACCUGUUCUGGUAAUGAUAUCAAUUUACUCAUUAAUGACUAAUCAAGGAACUGGAGAAAAAUCACACACAGAGUGCUGCGAUUAUUGCACGCACGGUCAAAAUAGUUUUAUGUUGAGAAAAACGUGCAAAGAACUAUCUGCUUUUGGAAAAAUAAUGGUGUGUCGAUGUCGUAUUGAUUUAAAAUGGGCUCUUUUUCACGAACAGGAAAUUCUGUGUGUUAUUAUGCUUUGUCCAAGGAGCACCAGCAAUCCUGAGCGAUUUCUGCUAUUUAUGGACAAUGUUCGGCUGAGGGUUACCAGGCGAUGCCAGUCCGGGCUGCUGCUCGAUGGAGACACACAAAAACGGUGUGAACGUCACGGCAAACCCCCUCCCCCCAGCACUGAGAUUGGCACCACGCCCUCUGUAAUUUCAUCAGACUUGACGCAGACCCCGGCUGUCUCUGGGAGCAGCGGGCCGCGUCUAUGUAACUGCUGUCCGAAGAAUUUCAAUUUUUGGUCGCGCACGUCAUUUUCUCAUCAGGGAUUUCUUUAAAAAUCAUUCAGCUUCACCAUGUUGGAAAAGAGGACAGGUAGGGGUUAGAUAAAGCUGUUUUUAAUCCAGGAGACCCAUGCCACCAAAAAUCAUACGUGACCUAACACAGUCAACCUUACGCAGCCGUGUCUCCUGCGGACCUUUCUGGGGGGCAGAGGCACAGAGCAGGCCAGCAGCGAUGGCUUACCUACUAUUUGGAACGUUUCAGAAAGCGUCUGUCAGAGACCUCGUAGCGGUUGCUGCAUUUCAGGGCAUAGGACUCCAGGAGAUACCUCCAUGAUGGAUGGCAAGGAUCUCAGGAGCAGGAUCGAUUAAAAAAUACCCAUGCGGGGGUCCACUGUGUCCAUGCGAGGAUACCACAGGAGGUGCUCCCCAAUGGUGUGUGGUUCAGUGGGUUAGCAUGUCGUUCCCAUGACUGGAAGGUUGCUGGUUUGAAUCCUUUGGGUUGGCAGAAUGAUUUCACUGUUGGGUCCCUGAGCAAAGUCCCCUAACCCUAAUUGCUCCAGGGACUGUCUGACACUUCUUGUAUGUCGUUUCGGAUAAAAGCACACUCUAAAUAAAUGUAUGCAUGCAUGCAUCCACCCCCACUAAGGCGUGAGAUCCCACAACCCUCCUGCUAGUGCAACAGGUGCUGGUUUAACAGUCGAUAGCACAAGGAGGCCAGCACUCUAGCGGGGGGUUUAAAUGUGGAUUUUCUCAUAGAUUAGAAAGAUGGAGGAUCAGUUCAGGAAGCCAGCCCCAAACCGAAGUCGCGAUCACUGAAACUCUCACCCCCCACCCCUUCUGUUCUGGAUCUUCAUUAUCUGACGAGGCGGCAGCAGUACACGCAUUCUUGGAUAUUUCCGUCGCGGGAAAGAUAACAGAAAACGGACCGAAAGCAUGCAAAUCGGCCAAGGCGGCCUGACGGCGCGGUUCAGCCUGCUGAAAGCGCAUUAAUGUUUUUAAUCGCUUCCCUUCCCCAAGACGCCCGCCCUGGAAAUUUCCGGCAUCCAGCUCUGCCUUAACCGAGCGGACUUCAGCCGCGAGGUUCUCCGCGGCUCCCCAUUCCGCCCACUCCUUCGGUCGGCCUCCGUUCAAAAGGAAGAU
This is a non-coding RNA of Paramormyrops kingsleyae, 6927 nucleotides long. Lineage: Eukaryota; Metazoa; Chordata; Actinopteri; Osteoglossiformes; Mormyridae. The record is from RefSeq and is a predicted model, not a curated record.